AGUACAGGGUUUAUAAUUACGACAUGAUUGUUGGAGCUUACUUUCAAAGGGGUAACCACUGGAAUCUCCUGUUCGCAGAAAACCAUAUUUUGGGGUUGCCAUGUAUCUUUGAAAAGAAGGACGUGCUCAACAAAAGAAAAGAGAUUGCAGCCACUCUUCUUUUAUAUGAAGUGAAUGUUAAAGAGUGCUGUCCUGCAUGUGGUUGGAAACCAGAAGGGGAGGAAAAGUUG
Molecule: long non-coding RNA, 230 nt
Organism: Dreissena polymorpha
Lineage: Eukaryota; Metazoa; Mollusca; Bivalvia; Myida; Dreissenidae
Exons: 3
Source: RefSeq, a predicted model, not a curated record